RNAcentral lists this non-coding RNA (533 nucleotides) under Pan troglodytes (chimpanzee). The record is from RNAcentral. Lineage: Eukaryota; Metazoa; Chordata; Mammalia; Primates; Hominidae.
GCAGCGCAGGGUCCCGAGGACGGCCUGGCCCGGAGAAAAGAUACCGAAGCUCCAACUUUCCCCAACCCCGCUCCCCUCCUCCUUCCACCCUCCCUUCCCGCCCCAAAGCUCGGGGGUCCUAUCCCUCCUCCGGUCCGCGGAGUCUCCCGAACCCUGCGGGGACCCGGCGCUCGGCGGUGCCCUCCUGGGGCGCACGGGGCUGGGGCGGGAGCGGGGAGACCAGGUGGGGAGGGGACCCCAGAUCUCAGACGCCCGGGGAGACGGCGUUUCCCGCUGUUCAUUCAGGUUUGUGCCAAAAGGAGCCUCACAGAUGCAGUACUGGGUUUGGUAGACUCAAAUCGUCUUGUUUUAAUGUAAAUGAAACGACCCAGGCGCGAGCGCGCAUCGCGGAGGCCACGAUUCCCGUUUUAUUCCCUCUCCACGGCAAGGAAAAGCAGCGAAAUCUGAGGUCUUCAGAGGUUAACCCUAUCUAGGAGCAGAAUGUGACGCAUUGUAAACAAAUAAAUGUUGAAAACUCGAUGUUAAACACUUUA